This 880-nucleotide ribosomal RNA is filed under the name Paenibacillus sp. UrPL05. Its description in RNAcentral is "bacterial SSU rRNA". It matches the Rfam family "Bacterial small subunit ribosomal RNA", at positions 60 to 914 of the family's 1533-position model. The record is from RNAcentral. Lineage: Bacteria; Bacillati; Bacillota; Bacilli; Caryophanales; Paenibacillaceae.
AGUCGAGCGGACUUUGAAGAGAGCUUGCUUCUCUGAUGGUUAGCGGCGGACGGGUGAGUAACACGUAGGCAACCUGCCCUCAAGUUUGGGACAACUACCGGAAACGGUAGCUAAUACCGAAUAAUUGUUUUCUUCGCCUGAAGGAAACUGGAAAGACGGAGCAAUCUGUCACUUGGGGAUGGGCCUGCGGCGCAUUAGCUAGUUGGUGAGGUAACGGCUCACCAAGGCGACGAUGCGUAGCCGACCUGAGAGGGUGAUCGGCCACACUGGGACUGAGACACGGCCCAGACUCCUACGGGAGGCAGCAGUAGGGAAUCUUCCGCAAUGGGCGAAAGCCUGACGGAGCAAUGCCGCGUGAGUGAUGAAGGUUUUCGGAUCGUAAAGCUCUGUUGCCAGGGAAGAACGCUUGGGAGAGUAACUGCUCUCAAGGUGACGGUACCUGAGAAGAAAGCCCCGGCUAACUACGUGCCAGCAGCCGCGGUAAUACGUAGGGGGCAAGCGUUGUCCGGAAUUAUUGGGCGUAAAGCGCGCGCAGGCGGUCAUUUAAGUCUGGUGUUUAAUCCCGGGGCUCAACCCCGGAUCGCACUGGAAACUGGGUGACUUGAGUGCAGAAGAGGAGAGUGGAAUUCCACGUGUAGCGGUGAAAUGCGUAGAUAUGUGGAGGAACACCAGUGGCGAAGGCGACUCUCUGGGCUGUAACUGACGCUGAGGCGCGAAAGCGUGGGGAGCAAACAGGAUUAGAUACCCUGGUAGUCCACGCCGUAAACGAUGAGUGCUAGGUGUUAGGGGUUUCGAUACCCUUGGUGCCGAAGUUAACACAUUAAGCACUCCGCCUGGGGGAGUACGGUCCCCAAGACUGAAAACUCAAAGGGAAAUUGAC